Long non-coding RNA from Nicrophorus vespilloides, 351 nucleotides. RefSeq lists it as uncharacterized. The record is from RefSeq and is a predicted model, not a curated record. The transcript has 2 exons. Lineage: Eukaryota; Metazoa; Arthropoda; Insecta; Coleoptera; Silphidae.
AUUAACCUUAAGCCGCAUGUAAGGUAGAAGAAAAAAAAAACAGAGAUUGGUGAAAAUUGAGAAAGAAUCCACAGAAAUCAAGACAUGGCGGAAAACAAAAUGGUAACCAAACAGUCGACAUUCACAACAACAACAACAACAACAAAUAUCAUUUCCAACAUGGCGAAAAACAAAAUGGAAAUCAAUCAAACAAUUUGACAAAAGAAAAAAAUAAUUGAAAAUCAAUCGAAAUGACAGAGAUAUUUUCCGCGUAAUAAACAAAACACGUUCGAACAAAAUCUGCUGACUGUUGCGAUAAGCUCUAGUGUGGAGGUCAGCGGGGAACACCUCAAAGUGACUUUACAAAAAAAA